UUUAAUUGAAGAGUUUGAUCAUGGCUCAGAUUGAACGCUGGCGGCAGGCCUAACACAUGCAAGUCGAGCGGCAGCACAGAGGAACUUGUUCCUUGGGUGGCGAGCGGCGGACGGGUGAGUAAUGCCUGGGAAAUUGCCCGGUAGAGGGGGAUAACCAUUGGAAACGAUGGCUAAUACCGCAUAACCUCGCAAGAGCAAAGCAGGGGACCUUCGGGCCUUGCGCUACCGGAUAUGCCCAGGUGGGAUUAGCUAGUUGGUGAGGUAAGGGCUCACCAAGGCGACGAUCCCUAGCUGGUCUGAGAGGAUGAUCAGCCACACUGGAACUGAGACACGGUCCAGACUCCUACGGGAGGCAGCAGUGGGGAAUAUUGCACAAUGGGCGCAAG
This 386-nucleotide ribosomal RNA is filed under the name Vibrio cholerae. RNAcentral's name for it is "bacterial SSU rRNA". It matches the Rfam family "Bacterial small subunit ribosomal RNA", at positions 1 to 381 of the family's 1533-position model. The record is from RNAcentral. Lineage: Bacteria; Pseudomonadati; Pseudomonadota; Gammaproteobacteria; Vibrionales; Vibrionaceae.